This 167-nucleotide small RNA is filed under the name Chrysemys picta bellii (western painted turtle). RNAcentral describes it as "TUC338 (ENSCPBG00000026777.1)". Lineage: Eukaryota; Metazoa; Chordata; Testudines; Emydidae. The record is from RNAcentral.
UUGACAUGCCUGUAGACUGAAGUGCUCUAUUAUUUAGCCCAAGAACAAACACAGCAUGGGCAGCAGCAGUGCAAACACCCCCCCAGCUAAGCCGCCAAUAUACAUAAAACCCUGGCCUGGAGGAACUGAGAUAGGAGCUCAGUCUCCAUGACCCAUCCUUGUCCUCU